GACGAACGCUGGCGGCGUGCUUAACACAUGCAAGUCGAACGGAAAGGCCCUGCUUUUGUGGGGUGCUCGAGUGGCGAACGGGUGAGUAACACGUGAGUAACCUGCCCUUGACUUUGGGAUAACUUCAGGAAACUGGGGCUAAUACCGGAUAGGAGCUCCUGCUGCAUGGUGGGGGUUGGAAAGUUUCGGCGGUUGGGGAUGGACUCGCGGCUUAUCAGCUUGUUGGUGGGGUAGUGGCUUACCAAGGCUUUGACGGGUAGCCGGCAUGAGAGGGUGAACGACCACAAUGGGACUGAGAGUCGGCCCAGGCUCCUACGGGAGGCAGCAGUGGGGAAUAUUGCACAAUGGGCGGAAGCCUGAUGCAGCAACGCCGCGUGCGGGAUAACGGCCUUCGGGUUGUAAACCGCUUUCGCCUGUGACGAAGCGUGAGUGACGGUAAUGGGUAAAGAAGCACCGGCUAACUACGUG
This 468-nucleotide ribosomal RNA is filed under the name uncultured bacterium. Its description in RNAcentral is "partial 16S ribosomal RNA". It matches the Rfam family "Bacterial small subunit ribosomal RNA", at positions 28 to 507 of the family's 1533-position model. The record is from RNAcentral.